AGGCGCUGCGGGAGGCCACUGGUGCUCAAGCACCUCGGAUUCCCGCUCAUACAGCCGGCCGGAUCAUGUGGCAGUCAGGUGGCGACCACUAUCUAGCCCAACGUUGCUGGAGUUGUUGCAGCUCUGCCGGGCCCACAUAUCAGCGUUCGUGCAUGACGGUGAGUUGCCACCCAUGGCAUCUCUGGACCAGUUGCAGGCCAGAUUUGGGAACAGCCCGCCUGGCUCCCUGUCCUCCCUGAGGCUGAUGCAGGCAGACAGCCUCCUGUGGAUGGGUCACAAAAUGACUGUGCAGCAGCCGAAGGCCCCUGGAACCCAGACAGAUGUGCUACUGGCUGACCUUCAGCACUGCAGGCAGCAGAAGGGCUACCCCUGGGGAGGCCCAGGCCCAGGGCUUCCCCCGCCCCCUGAACUACACCCAUGGCUGCCACUUCAGCUGAUCUGCGGUGACAUGCCCACCACCACCUCAGACCUCUACAGCUUCUGCAUCCUGAUCCAGGAGGUCUUCACUGAGAAACUGUACAUCAAGUGGCUCACAGAGCCAAGACCACACCCAGGCCUGUGGCCCCUGUGAUGUCCCCAGGCCCCAUCCCAUGCCAGGCCUGAGACUCCUGAGGUCAGAGACCACAGCAGGAUCCCAAGGGGUGCAGCCUGGAACUUGGGCAGCAGCUUGACUCUAGGCAGCAGCUCUGGGCCCAGCCCAGGACCCAGCCCUGGGUCUGGCCACAGCCCCACAGCCAGGGUCAGCCUGCACUGCUGCCUGGAGCCCAGCUCAACAGUACAGAUACCCCCAGAGCCCUGCACAACUGUCCCACUGCUAACCUGUGACCCCCUCCGCCCGCCCUCCAGGAGUCACCAACCCGAAGUUCCCUGGCUGCCUCUCCUUUGACCAGGGAACUUUAGGGUCGCCCAACUGUCCCCUCACUCACCUAUGACCCUUAACCAACCCUGCUUCCCCCAGGGCCCUUCCCUGCACUCCAACUCCAGCCUCUAGGACUCAGCCUCCCUGCUGGGGACCCAGAGCUCUGCGGAACAGUUUGAGGAAGCUCUCAGCCAAGAUUCCAGCCCUGCAGGGGCUGCUGCGGCGCACACACAGGGUUAUUCUGCUGGAGCCCCAGCCCUGUGAGCCCAUCCCCAGCCUGCUGACCCACAGGGAGGCUUCCCACACACUGGGAGGCUGCUGGCAGGGAAGGCCACGAGGGCAGGCUAAGCAGAGGACCCCGAGCUCAGCCUGUGCCCCAUCUGCCCUCCCAGGCCCGCUGGAGCACCAUGGCUACCAGGUGGCAGCUCCAGCCUUCUCUCCUGCAGGCACCCGGUACUGAGCUGACUAGAGGAGGUCUCUUCUCCAGCCUGCAGAAGAUGGACCUGCUGGAGGAGAUCAUAGCAGAGCUACAAAAAGGAUGUCAGCUUGGAGAAAAGCCCAGCCUGAGCCCCACUCCUGACCUAGACUCCCAGGGUGCCCAUGGUUCCCCUCUCUGCAGAUACCACCUCUCAGAGGCUCCCAGGAGUAACUCCUGCCUUGGUGCCUCCCCAAAAGGAAAUAGAAUGAUAAAGUGCC
Molecule: long non-coding RNA, 1555 nt
Organism: Homo sapiens (human)
Lineage: Eukaryota; Metazoa; Chordata; Mammalia; Primates; Hominidae
Gene: TEX14BP
Product: testis expressed 14B, pseudogene
Source: Ensembl